Molecule: long non-coding RNA, 1695 nt
Filed under: Homo sapiens (human)
Lineage: Eukaryota; Metazoa; Chordata; Mammalia; Primates; Hominidae
Description: HSALNT0112951
Source: RNAcentral
UAUGUUGUAAAUUCUAGGGUCUUCUCUCUUAGGAUCUGUGCAGAUCUCUGGCUGAUUGCUUUAUGCCUGGUUCUGGAGCCUUUGCCAGUGCAUUCUAAGAAGAACAAGGGAAGACCAGCAAGCCACAGCAGAAGAAACUCAGAAGGAAAUGUAACCUUCCACAGGCCCACACAUGUGUUAUCAGCCAUACCUUAGGACAGAAGGAAUGAGUUUGCAGAAAGGAUGCCCUACAACCAUACUGAGAAUUUAGCCCUGGGGACAUCUUCCGAUAUAAUCUGGCAUAGAAGAGUGGUUAUCACACCUUUAGCAUGGAUAGAAAUGCAAAACAAUAUUUGUAAUAGUCUGUGCUCACGCUGCUAUAAGGACAUACCCAAGACUAGGACCCUUGAGACACCUUUGCUGUGAAUAAUGGAGAAGCAAAAGGAGUUACUAAUGAAGACAAACUAAACCUGAGAACAGAGAGAGCCUAACUAUGUGCUCCAGAAGUGCCAUGUGUGUCUAAGGACAUCAGCAAGAUGAUGAAAAGGGAGUUUUCUACUGUCAUUCCCCAAAAGAAGCAUCAAUUUUACAACUACUCAUGGACAAGAGUAUCCUUGUAGGAAUCUAAGAGUUUAGCAAAGAAGUUUCAGCACAUUCUCAGAGCAAAAAGUUUGAGUAUGCAUACGGAGAAGAGAAGAGAAUAAGAACAGUUGCACUUUACCUGCACUUUUUCUCCCCCAAGGUGUCACAGCUCAGUGCCAAGAGAGACCUCCUUAGCCCGUUUCUCCCAUAAAGGAAAGUGAGAGUAUAGUAAAUAAACUGUCAGUUCCCUGGCUGUGUGAGAUGCUGCCCAAUAGCCCCACCUCUUUUUUGUCUUACCCAAAUUACUGAGGUGAUCGGCACAGGUGAGAGAUUGGGAGAGGGUAGAACCAGAGAAGAGAGGCCGUGGACUCUCAUAAUUGCUCCAGUGGAUUCCAUGAGGAAGUUUGUCCAUGAGGCACUCGAGAUGUCUCACCUGCGGACACCACCAAUGGCCCAAGGCCACUGCAAAUGCAUUUCAUGCUUCUCCCACCGCCUGGAUGAAAGAAGGAUAGAAAAAAGGCACACAAACUGGAGCAUCUCAAAGCACUGCUCUAAUAGGCUGUACAGGAAGCAUGGCACCAACAUCUGCCCAGCUCCUAGGGAGGCCUCGGGGAGCUUUUACUCAUGGUGGAGGGUGAAGCAGGAGCAAGUACAUCAUACGGCGAAAGCAAGAGCAAGUGAGUCGGGGGCAGGUUCCACACACUUUUAAAUGACCAGAUCUCAUGAGAACUCACUCACUAUCUUGGAGAAAGCACCAAGCCAUAAGGGAUCUGCCCCCAUGACCCAUACACUUCCCACCAGGUCCCACCUCCAACACUGGGGAUUACAUAUCAACAUGAGAUUUGGGUGGCACAAAUAUCCAAAUCAUAUCACAAUAAUUAAGGAAUUUUAAAUACUGAAAGAACAGAAUAAACUUGGAAAAUAAAUAUUGCUGAAGCAACUGGUUAAAAAUGAAAAAUUUAACCAAGCAUGUUAUUUGACAUCAUGUGCACAAUAUAGAAUUAUCUGAAUUUGAGAACAUUUCUAUAGAAUUCAAUUUAAAAAACCCAGACUUCCAGGUGUAAGAUUAAAUCUUUUCAUAAGAAAACAAAGAGAGAAUGAAAUUAACUUGAGGUGAUUUAAAUCAUGGCAGUG